This is a long non-coding RNA of Daphnia pulex (common water flea), 1361 nucleotides long. RefSeq lists it as uncharacterized. The transcript has 2 exons. NCBI's taxonomy places the organism in Eukaryota, Metazoa, Arthropoda, Branchiopoda, Diplostraca, Daphniidae. The record is from RefSeq and is a predicted model, not a curated record.
AGCUAAGAUGAGUGGGUGGCGUCGCGGCGGUGGCGGCGCUAUAGUCGACGAGAGAUGGUGGCGGUGGUGGCGUUUGCGCUCCUCUGGCCUCGGCCGGGAGUUGUAGUAAGUGCGCGUCGACCGUGACGUCCUCGGCUCCCCUUCUCUUGCUCUCUUGCAGGGUCGAACUCAGUUCUGGCCCUCACUUGCAGACAGCGGGCCCAAGUGUUUAGCCCUGACGAGCCCUGUCAGUGAGCGCGCCGGGGUCCUCUGGGCUAUUCUCUUAACGGGCGACGGCCAACGAUUUUCCUUGCCAAUCUGACGAGCGCCUUGCGCCUGAACGGACCGACAUCAAACGCCAGACUACAUUUUUUGUGUGUGUGAGGGUGGGGGAGACCGUCCCGUCCGCUUCGUCGUCCACUUUCAUCUGUUUUGGGGAACCCUUUUUACUCCGAUUGCUUUUUCUUUCGGUUGGUUGUGACAACGCCAAAGGAAAACAACAAAAAAAGAUUGUUGGUGUGCAAGUUUUGAUUUGAUUUUCCCACCGCUCCCGCUCUCUCUCUCUCUCUUCUUGGCUGGCUGGCUGCCUGCUGAGUUAUUCAUGUGCGGAGUAGACCAGUGUGUGAGUCUGUCUCCAUUGAGAAAAGAAUCCGGCCGCGGGAAGAAUUGUUUUUCGGUGACCACCAAACUGGACCUUUUUUUGGAAGCCACCUGUGUUCAAACAUCUGAAGCACGCUGACUUGACUUGUUCUUAUUAUCCCUGGGAAAAGAUUUGUGUCUGUCGCAAUUAUUAUUUAGUCGACUGCACACAUCACCGAAAGACGGACCCGAAAAAAACUCAAUUCGUCACGGGUGGGCCAACUGAUCGAAACAGGAUUGUACAUGUGUACUACGUAGUGCGCUUGGCAACGUCCGGAAAUCUGUCCGUCCCCAAAAGGUAAGACGAGUUGGAAUCUUAUCUUCUGGAAUGUUGACUUUGAUAUCGACCCUCUCGAACCCAUUAGGAAGGGUGACUAUUGACGGUUUGAAAUCCAUGUUCGAUCUUGUUACCUCUUUUCCCAGAGAAUUUGUAAUGGCUAGCGGGAGAUAUUCUUUCGGAAACCGACGCAAUAUUCGAUGAUGCGAUCGGGUGACGAAAGACUUAAGGAUAUCGAGAGAGAGAGCGAGACGGUAAUCAAACGACUCCAGCGCUCGUUACCGCGUCCCAUCUAGACAGUUUGACAUUGACAUCUCUUGUCACGGCGAAUUGCCCAUUAGGAAGAUCAAAUGAGCCGAUGUAGAGAAGAUUUAUCAUUCAUUAAAUUAUAGCGCUGGGCCCUAAAAUUUAGAUUUAAAAAGGCCGAAUGAGGCAAAAUCAAAUUUUGGUUGUUGAUCUCCGUCAA